CCCUUAGACGUUCUGGGCCGCACGCGCGCUACACUGACCAGUGCAACAAGCAUCCGUCCUUGGCCGACAGGCCCGGGCAAUCUUUGAACGCUGGUCGUGAUGGGGAUAGACUUUUGCAAUUUUUGGUCUUCAACGAGGAAUUCCUAGUAAACGCAAGUCAUCAACUUGCAUUGAUUACGUCCCUGCCCUUUGUACACACCGCCCGUCGCACCUACCGAUUGAAUGGUCCGGUGAAUCCUCCGGAUUGGCGCGCACCUCGGUGCCGCCGAGAAGUUGGCUAAACCUUACCAUUUAGAGGAAGGUGAAGUCGUAACA
This 315-nucleotide ribosomal RNA is filed under the name uncultured eukaryote. Its description in RNAcentral is "partial 18S ribosomal RNA". It matches the Rfam family "Eukaryotic small subunit ribosomal RNA", at positions 1470 to 1796 of the family's 1831-position model. The record is from RNAcentral.